AUUGAACGCUGGCGGCAUGCCUUACACAUGCAAGUCGAGCGGCAGCGGGCCUUCGGGUGCCGGCGAGUGGCGAACGAGUGAGUAAUGCAUCGGAACGUGCCAUUGAGUGGGGGAUAACGUAGCGAAAGUUGCGCUAAUACCGCAUAUUCUGUGAGCAGGAAAGCAGGGGACCGCAAGGCCUUGCGCUCUUUGAGCGGCCGAUGUCAGAUUAGCUAGUUGGUGAGGUAAAGGCUUACCAAGGCGACGAUCUGUAGCGGGUCUGAGAGGAUGAUCCGCCACACUGGAACUGAGACACGGUCCAGACUCCUACGGGAGGCAGCAGUGGGGAAUUUUGGACAAUGGGGGCAACCCUGAUCCAGCCAUGCCGCGUGAGUGAAGAAGGCCU
This 385-nucleotide ribosomal RNA is filed under the name uncultured bacterium. Its description in RNAcentral is "bacterial SSU rRNA". It matches the Rfam family "Bacterial small subunit ribosomal RNA", at positions 30 to 417 of the family's 1533-position model. The record is from RNAcentral.